Eleginops maclovinus (Patagonian blennie) is the source of this 732-nucleotide long non-coding RNA. RefSeq lists it as uncharacterized. Lineage: Eukaryota; Metazoa; Chordata; Actinopteri; Perciformes; Eleginopidae. The transcript is spliced from 4 exons. The record is from RefSeq and is a predicted model, not a curated record.
GGCACCGCAAUCCCUGUUCUCACGUUGGGAAGUUGUGUCCAUGCUUGCUUGAAAACUACAGCAAAAGGGCAUGGCUGAUUCCGGACUGAGGAGGGUUAAUUCAUUAAAAUUGAGAAAACUUUGGAGAACAUAAAGGCAGGUGGGACCUUUAAUGUUUCAGGAGCAGAGUGAGCUGACACACAGCUUGUGAGUGGGAAGCUGCUAGCAGAAAUGAGGCUCCUGCUGACAGCGAUUCUCCUUCUUCUUUUCCUAUGGCUUUACAUGGCUAAGAUGUCUAAUGACUCGCAUGGAAAUCCUUGUGAGGCUGUAUCGACAAGUGAGGCAGCAGUGGCUCUCCUCUUGUCCCCUCUGUCCCUGUACUCCUGGUUCUCCUCCACGCUGUUCAGACUCGCCCUGUCCAUCCCGGCGCUUGUCCUCAGCUCCCUCUAUCACUCUGUGUUGCUGCUCCUGGCUGGGCCUUGGUGCGUGGCCACCGUCUGUCUCUCUCUGCUGCUGACGUGUCUGCAUGUUGCUCUAUACCUGCUUCACCUGGUGCUUGUGAUUGGGGUGUUGGCCAUGUUAAUCCUCACACAACACAAAGUAGCUGACAGUGACACCACAAAUGAGAAAGUGUUGUACCAGCAAAGACACUGGAGAGGCAUCACAGCAAGCUAAACUGCGGGUGUAUGGUUGUAAAGAUGUACAACAUGGCUGCUGUAACAUUACCUAAUUGUGUAUUUCUUUAAUUAAAAA